AGAGGCAUCCGGCACACACCUGCUGGCUAGCUCACGUUUGUGCUUUCAGGGAGUAAAGCGACGACGUAUGGAGGAGCGCAAUCUUGAUCAACAGGAUUAUGCGAGAAAGUUUAUUUCUUUCUCGUACAAUAUCUUAUAGAGGGCUGCUAUCGAAUAUGAAAAAGAGGCACAUGCUAGUAACCUUGAACAAGGUGAGGCAAUGGAAAAAAAUAUGAUCUCCAUGGAUCAUGAAAUUGAGAAAAUACGUGUCGAACUUGCUAAUGCAGAGAAGAGUUGCAGCAGCUGCAGCAGAGACUUCAAGUCCUAGAUAUGUUGUAGGGUUCGGAAACCCUAAAAUGAGGUAUGGUCGGAGUUCAUAUCCUGAUGUUUAUGCUAUGCAUCAGGUAUGUGCUGAUUGAUGUUUGUCUCUUAAUAAGAUGAAAAUGCUAGUGUUUGUUGUUGUUGCUAGUAAUUAAUUUGAACUCCAGCCAGAGUAAUAAUCACUUGAUCCGGACAGCGAGUUUCCAAACCUUUCCAUGGUCACUAUAAAUGAUCCCCCAGUUAAAAGUUGUAGAUUGAGAUCAUGAUUGGGCCAUACUAUGGUGACAUUGAAGGAAGAUUUGACUCCCAUCUUAAAAUCAUUGUGCUUGGAAGCGUUUCAUUUUUCUUUUCUUUUCUUUUUUUCUUUUUUCUUUUUGUUGACAAUUCUGUGAAUCCUUUUUUUUUUUUCUUAAUCUCCAUUUCAGCAGUCUUCUUUGAUUUU
This is a non-coding RNA of Camellia sinensis, 742 nucleotides long. The record is from RefSeq and is a predicted model, not a curated record. NCBI's taxonomy places the organism in Eukaryota, Viridiplantae, Streptophyta, Magnoliopsida, Ericales, Theaceae.